CUGCACCCCAGAUGUCCACCCUACCUGUUCCCUGACUUCCUCCAUCCUGUCCAGCAGGAUGGGCUGGACAGUGGGACAGCCUGUGUGCACAUUUUGUGGCAAGUAGGAGUGACACAUCAUCCCUGGGAGGCACCAUGGUUCCUGCCAAACCCAACCCCAGAACUCUGUCCCUGAGGUGGUUUUACCAAAACCCAAAACCCAGAAUUGUGCUUGUGGCUCAGGGGUCAGCACCUGCUAGUACCAGGACACUACUGGGAGGCUGGGACCUGACCGAAGCCCAUGGUGUCUGUGGCCUGAGGACAGGGUGUGUUGGGGCCAUAAGUCUCGGCCACCAAUGGCCAUUGGGUCCUAGGGCCUCAGCCCCAGUGUUUGCCCUUCCCUGGCUCCUUCUGGUUCAGUCCCAUUAGGGCCCUGGAGCCCAAGACCCAGCACCCAAGGUCCCCUCCAGGAAUAUUGGCGGCUUGGCUUCCUUUAUCAUGUUUCAUCUGAGAGCAAAAAUGUCAGAUCGGAUGCACAGAAAAAUGGCCCAAGUUGUUUAAUAACUAGAAGAAAUAUAGGAGCAGCAAGAGGGUAAUGUGGAGAGGGGAGGGCCUCCAUGACCGGUGUCUGCAGAGCCAGGGGUACAGGCACCCAGUGUUGUGGCCUGGCACCACCGGCCUCUCAGAGCGUGGGUGGCCCACUGUCUUUACCCAGAGGACAGCAGGCCUGAUCACCAGCUUUUCUACCUGUCCCUGUAAGCAUCACAUUGCUAGAAGAAAAUCUCAUGCCAGAGCUUGCACCAUCCCUAGCUUGGGGGUUAGGGGUUGUCUCUUGGUGACCUAAAUGAAAAAAUAGGUCCAGAUCAGAGUUCCUGACGCAGAGCACUCACCCACUCUUUGAAUCGUGGGAGGGGAGGCCUGGUUUUAGGUAAACCUAACCUCUUUGAGGAACCACAGAGCCCAAGACUGGAAACCUUCAGAAUCUUCUGGCCCCCAACCCUCCCUGGGGACCCCUGUGGCCUGUCUCACCAGAGCACUCUUCCGUCUGUAGAUGUCUCAGCUGCUCUACAAGGGAGUCCCAUUUCAGAGCAGGACAAACAGGCCCGGUGGUGUCAGGAGCCCAGGUCUCCAGCUGGAGGGAACGUCAACCCUGCAGUGGGAGCAGGGGCCCAUUGCACAUCCUAGGCACAGAUGCUAAUGCAGGCACUGCAGGUAAGCUGGGCUUGGUAUCCUUCCCUGGCUUCAGAAAGAAGCCAACAAGGAGCGUUUUGCAGAAUGAAACCUUUCUUUCCAGAAGCACUGCUGACUGUAAGUGGUUGCCGUUUGUGGCAGUGAGCAUUUUGUCCAUUCUGAGGUUGGAUUGGUUUCUCCUUUUGGCCUUGCCCUGGCCUACAGACCAUAAAGGAGAACAGCAAGAAGCCCCCAGCAAACAUCUACAGAUGGCCCUGGACAUCAGCCACAUUCUGAGGAACAUGUCAUGUUCUGGGAGGGCUAAGGCAUCAAGUAAGGCCUGUGGGGCUGGAGGAUCCCAGGCAAGGUGGGGCAAUCCAGAGCCAUGGGGCCUUCCCAUGGGAAUUGGGAGGUCCCAAGGCAGAGUCAGAGGUUCCACAGGAGGAGUCAGAGAGUCACCAAGGGCUCUCCUGGCCCAGGGAGCAGUCAACACCAUGGACUGAACACUUGCUGGGCUCCAACCCCUGGGCCAGGCUGCCCACGUGGGGCCAGGGGGCAGCUCAGAGUGGGAGGCAGAGAGAGAAGUGUGCUCAGAGGGCACCUGUAUCUGGAUGUAAUGUGGUUCUGAGACUCUGGCUGGGAAGUUCUUCCAGGGUAUCAUAUGUGUUAUGCAGCUACUUCCUCUCCCCAGCCUUACCCUGUAGGAAUUCUAGUGACUAUGUUGCCACCAUCUUGGAGCUCCAUGCCCUCAUAGUGUAAUGGCAUCAGCAGAUCUGCCUGUGCACAGACUUCCUGUACUACCUCACUCCUGAGGGGAGAUGCUUCUGCAGGGCCUGCGACCUGGUGCUCAACUUUAGACACCAUCAUUCUGGAGCGGCACUGCACCCUCACUAGCCAGGGUGUUGACGUCCUCAAGGCCAAGGCCACAUUCAAGACUUUGGACUUCAUUGAUGCACUUGUGCCGAGCAAGCUUAUCUGAUCUUCUGGGAUCUCUACUAGGAUGCUGGCAGCCCAGCCAGCUGGUCUGGCCCUGGACGUGCCUUCAGGGGCUGGGUAUGCUUCAUGACCUGUGUUUUGAUCCUGGUUGGAGUAAAACAUUCCAUGGGAACUCGGGCUGUGAGAAACGUCCUAACCACCUGACUGCAGAAACAUCCUUAUCACAUCCUGCUGGGCAAAGGCCCAACAGCCUGACUUCAGGAACAUCCUUAUCAUCAUCUACUGAGCAGCAAGCUAUACUGUCCAGAGCCCUCCCUCCCAGCCCCAUGAUUACCCCAGCCUGUAAGUGGCAGUGGGCGCUGACACUAAGCUGGUUUCCCC
This 2465-nucleotide long non-coding RNA is filed under the name Pan troglodytes (chimpanzee). RNAcentral describes it as "long non-coding RNA NONPTRT017797". The record is from RNAcentral. Lineage: Eukaryota; Metazoa; Chordata; Mammalia; Primates; Hominidae.